GAUGAACGCUGGCGGCGUGCCUAAUACAUGCAAGUCGAGCGAACGGACGAGAAGCUUGUUUCUCUGAUGUUAGCGGCGGACGGGUGAGUAACACGUGGAUAACCUACCUAUAAGACUGGGAUAACUUCGGGAAACCGGAGCUAAUACCGGAUGAUAUUUUGAACCGCAUGGUUCAAAAGUGAAAGACGGUCUUGCUGUCACUUAUAGAUGGAUCCGCGCUGCAUUAGCUAGUUGGUAAGGUAACGGCUUACCAAGGCAACGAUGCAUAGCCGACCUGAGAGGGUGAUCGGCCACACUGGAACGGGAACACGGUCCAAACUCCUACGGAAGGCAGCAGUAGGGAAUCUUCCGCAAAGGGCGAAAGCCUGACGGAGCAACGCCGGGUGAGUGAUGAAGGUCUUCGGAUCUUAAAACUCUGUUAUUAGGGAAGAACAUAUGUGUAAGGAACUGUGCACAUCGUGACGGUACCUAAUCAGAAAGCCACGGCUAACUACGUG
Molecule: ribosomal RNA, 497 nt
Filed under: uncultured bacterium
Lineage: Bacteria
Description: partial 16S ribosomal RNA
Rfam family: Bacterial small subunit ribosomal RNA
Source: RNAcentral